GCCAGCAGCCGCGGUAAUACGUAGGGUGCAAGCGUUAAGCGGAAUUACUGGGCGUAAAGCGUGCGCAGGCGGUUGAUUAAGUUUGAUGUGAAAUCCCCGGGCUUAACCUGGGAACUGCAUUGAAUACUGGUCAGCUAGAGUGUGUCAGAGGGGGGUAGAAUUCCACGUGUAGCAGUGAAAUGCGUAGAGAUGUGGAGGAAUACCGAUGGCGAAGGCAGCCCCCUGGGAUAACACUGACGCUCAUGCACGAAAGCGUGGGGAGCAAACAGGAUUAGAUACCCUGGUAGUCCACGCCCUAAACGAUGUCAACUAGUUGUCGGGUCUUAAUUGACUUGGUAACGCAGCUAACGCGUGAAGUUGACCGCCUGGGGAGUACGGUCGCAAGAUUAAAACUCAAAGGAAUUGACGGGGACCGCACAAGCGGUGGAUGAUGUGGAUUAAUUCGAUGCAACGCGAAAAACCUUACCUACCCUUGACAUGGCAGGAAUCCUGAAGAGAUU
This 500-nucleotide ribosomal RNA is filed under the name beta proteobacterium ANRW7-1. RNAcentral's name for it is "bacterial SSU rRNA". It matches the Rfam family "Bacterial small subunit ribosomal RNA", at positions 507 to 1008 of the family's 1533-position model. The record is from RNAcentral. Lineage: Bacteria; Pseudomonadati; Pseudomonadota; Betaproteobacteria.